UUUUUUUUUUUUUUUUUUUUUGAGACGGAGUCUCACUCUGUCGCCCAGGCUGGAGUGCAGUGGCACUAUCUCGGCUCACUGCAACCUCUGCCUCCCAGGUUCAAGUGAUUCUCCUGCCUCAGCCUCCCAAGUAGCUGGGAUUACAGGCGCAUGCCACCGCCUUGGCCAACAUGGUGAAACCCCGCCUCUACUAAAAAUACAAAAAUUAGUUGGCCAUGGUGGCAAGCACCUGUAAUCCCAGCUACUUGGUAGGCUGAGGCAGGAGAAUCUCUUGAACCUGGAAGGCAGAUGUUGCAGUGAGCCAAGAUCACACCAUUGCACUCCAGCCUGGGCAACAGAGCGAGACUCAGUCUCAAAACAAAACAAAACACCAACAAAACAGAAUGCAUCUGCUGCUGGUGUGGAUCUUUGGCAGUUAAGCUCUACAGUGAAGCUACUGAGAUGGGUCCACUUCCUCCACAUGUGAUAAGACCUUGAUCCACGCAGAAGCCUUCACUUAGAGACGGAGAGUUUGCUUAGAUGGGAAGUUCCAGCUCUGAUUGUUUACUUUUCAACAACAUAAUUUUCUUGAGUCUUACCUUUGUAAAAUAGCUGUGCUUUAUGUUUUCUUCUCAAUUCUUGUGUGAAAUUAUUUUUUAUUGUCUUAAUAAAAUACAAACAAAAAAAGACCCCUGGAUUGUUGAGAGAGCCAUAUCAUAUAAAGUUAAGUGGAUGCUAGCAAUGGUCCCUUGAACUCAGGCAAUUUAGUUGAGAUAAAUAAUCCAUCUGAAGACGAGCAAACAUGUUUCCUUCCAUCCUUUCUGGACCCCUUGAUUUCUAGGCACUUCUCUGCUGGUCUGGGGUUGGAUUCUUCAUCUGUGAAGUGAUGCUUCUAGAGUUCUCUAUUUGUUUCCAAAGCAAGAAGAAAUGAUGUCUCCAGUACAGUCUUUCAAGAGCUAUGGCUUUAUCCAACACAUAUGUUGAUCUCAAUUAUGAGUCCAUGGGGAGGAAGCAUUCAGGAGGCUGAUGACUUGAGUUGAGGGGAAAUGUGCCAUUACCAGGAUUGGUAAAGAUGUGGCUGUUGACUUCACCUGGGAGGAGUGGAAGGACCUGGAUGACACUCAGAAGAUCCUGUACAGGGACAUAAUGCUGGAGACCUGCUGGUAUCCUUGGGACAUUGCAUGGUGAGACCUGAGGCACUUUUUAUUUGGAACAAGGAGCAGAGCCAUAAGUGGUAGAAACAAUGCCUGAUAUGGUUUGGCUGUGUCCCCACCCCAAAUCUCACCUUGAAUUGUAAUCCCCAUAAUCUCAUUAUCCCCAUGUGUCAAGGGAGGGACCAGUUGGAGGUAAUUGAAUCAUGGGGGUGGUUUUUCCCAUGCUGUUCUUGUGAUAGUAAGUGAGAGCUCACAAGAUCUGAUGGUUUUAUAAGUGUUUGGCAAGUUCUUCCUUUGGUCAUUCUCUCUCCUGCUUGUAAGGAAGGAACCUGCACCCCUUCACCUUCCACCACGAUUGUUAAGUUUCCUGAUGCCUUCCCAGCCAUGUAGAACUAUGAGCCAAUUAAACCUGUUUUCUUUGUAAAUUACCUAGUCUCAGGUAUUUCCUUAUAGCAAUUUGACAACAGACUAAUACACUGCCAAAACCAAGUCUCCCAGGUAUCCACCCAGUUGAUGACCUAAUUAAGAGGAGCCAAGAAAUUCACAGCAGACAUUUGUGGCAAAUUGCAAUCACACACCCACAUAUCAAGUAAGGAGAAAGUUGAAUUAUAAAAGGAAACGUAUAAUUUUAGCACAAACUAUAUCUUAAAUCUGAAUGUAAAUAAUAGAAACAGUUUGGUAAUGAGGCAUGAGGAGUUAACUGUACAUCAGAACAUGCUUUGCCUUAGUGAUCCUGAUGCAAUGGAGUCUUGAGAGAAUCUAGAUGCCUGUAAUUUAACUGUGAAAUGUAUCAGAAAUCAUGAGCAUUUCAGACAGCAUCAUAAAAUUCAAGCUGACAGCAAUAUUUUGAAUACAGUAGACAUUGCUUUAACAUGCAGGCAAUAUUAUGGACACAUGAUCAUAGUCAUAUGGGAGAGACCUCAUGUGGGUAUAAAGAAUAUGGAAAAUCUUGUGAUCAGUCAGCUCUCAUGUCCCAAGAGAUAUGUAAGUAGCAAAACUUUUCAGGAGAAAUCAAGACUCAGCUCAUUUCAGAGAAUACACAUGGGAGAAAAUCAUAUGUGUGUAAAGAAUGUGUGAAAACCUUUCAACUCAAGUCAAAUCUCAGAAAAUAUCAGGAUAUUCACACAAUCGAAAAAUUCUAUGAAUGUAAUGAGUGUGGGAAAACCUCCUGUUUGAAGGCAGUCCCCACUAGACAUCAGAUAACUCACAGGGGAAAAACCUUAUGAAUCUAGUGAAUAUGGAAAAGCUUUUCACUGGAAGUCUCACUUCAGGUUGCAUCCACUCAUUAACACAGGGGAAAUAUCCUAUAAAUGUCAUGAAUGUCAAAAAAAUUUUUCACUGGAAUGCAAACCUCAGGAAGUCUCAGGCUAUUCACAGGGGAAAAAUCUUAUGAAUGUAAGGAAUGUGGGAAAACCUCCUGUGAGAAGAGAGGCCUCGCCACACUUCAGAGAACUCACAGACGCAAUAAACCUUAUGAAUGAGAUGAAAGUGGAGGCUGGACGCCAAGCCUCAGGAAUCCUCAUGGCAUCCAAACUUGGAAAAAACCUAUGAAUGUCAUGAAUGUUGGAAAAUCUUUUGGCCAGAAGUCACACCUCAGCAGACAUCAGAGAACUCUCACUGGGGAGUAAAAACCUAUGAACAUCGUGAGUAUUGGAGAACACUUUGAACUGGUUACUCAUCACUAGACACAGAAAACUCACAAGUGGAAACCCUUAUGAAUGUAAUAAACAUGGAAAAGCCUUUUGCCAGACAUUAUGACUUAGCAGGCAUUAGAGAAGUUAACACAGGGGUGCAAUAAUGUAUGUCAGAUCCUGACUGUUCUCCGAAAAUUAUUCUCUAUGCUUCAGGACACACACUUUGCAUUUCUCAGUCUGCUAUUUUUGUGGUAUGAUUAGUACCAUGCAAAACUGAGAUUUUUAUAGGGAAUAUGGUCAGAAAUGAUGAACAUUAUUUAGAGCCUUGGCAACAAAUACCGUUUCUGUGGUCCUCCACAAUUGCUUAUGCCUUGUGGGGAUGAAGGUCAGAUGACCCCAAAGUUGACCUUGGGAGCCACUAGUGGUAACUGAUCACUAAGAUUUAAGAAAGAAGAAAUGUAUUGAAGAGAGGAGAGGUCUUCCCACCUCUAUUCCCAAGAACUUUCCCUUUGUACCUUACGUAAGUGAGAGAAUACAUACCUAAUCUUUUGAAGCAUCAGAUGUGUGAUCUGUUUUGGUUACAACACAAACAGCCUACUGCAGCUAAUUCACUUUCAGAGCUUCCUGAGAGAAUUUGACAGUCCUUGUAUAUAACAAAAUUCACAUAGGAAAGAAUCUUGUGUUGUUGCUUUUAACAGCAAUUUAGUUUAUUAAAAAACAAAACAGAAAAACACUGCAGCACAUUGGAAAUGCCAGAUCAGGCAGGCCAUCUUAUUGAUCACUGAGAAUAAAGUAAAUCUUUAUAAAUAUCAAAAAGAAAAAAAUUAGGCAAAUAAAAGAUUGUAUAGAGGCAUUCUUUUUAAAUAUGAUUUUGUUUCAUUAUCUAUAUAAUAAAUAUAAGUAAAACCACUUCAAUUCAGUUAAACUCAGCACACAUUAAUCAAUAGAUGCUUAUUCGGAAACAUUAGAUAAAGUAAUCCCAAUUUGUAUAAUUCUAAGAUCAUGUGCACAUGUACCCUAAAACUUAAAGUAUAAUAAUAAAAAAAUAAAU
This is a long non-coding RNA of Homo sapiens (human), 3818 nucleotides long. The record is from Ensembl. Lineage: Eukaryota; Metazoa; Chordata; Mammalia; Primates; Hominidae.